RNAcentral lists this ribosomal RNA (396 nucleotides) under uncultured bacterium. RNAcentral describes it as "bacterial SSU rRNA". It matches the Rfam family "Bacterial small subunit ribosomal RNA", at positions 28 to 430 of the family's 1533-position model. The record is from RNAcentral.
GACGAACGCUGGCGGCGUGCUUAACACAUGCAAGUCGAGCGGUAAGGCCCUUUCGGGGGUACACGAGCGGCGAACGGGUGAGUAACACGUGGGUGACCUGCCCUCAGCUCUGGGAUAAGCCUGGGAAACCGGGUCUAAUACCGGAUAUGACUCCAUGACGCAUGUUGUGGGGUGGAAAGCCUUGUGCGGCUGAGGAUGGGCCCGCGGCCUAUCAGCUUGUUGGUGGGGUGAUGGCCUACCAAGGCGACGACGGGUAGCCGGCCUGAGAGGGCGACCGGCCACACUGGGACUGAGACACGGCCCAGACUCCUACGGGAGGCAGCAGUGGGGAAUCUUGCGCAAUGGGCGAAAGCCUGACGCAGCGACGCCGCGUGAGGGAUGACGGCCUGUGUAACU